This 3639-nucleotide long non-coding RNA is filed under the name Sorghum bicolor (sorghum). RNAcentral describes it as "long non-coding RNA (SBIC_LNC016896)". The record is from RNAcentral. Lineage: Eukaryota; Viridiplantae; Streptophyta; Magnoliopsida; Poales; Poaceae.
ACCCGCCGACGCCUAUCAUUACUCCCCACUGCGCUCCCGCCUUGCUGCACCGGCGGCUCCUCGCCGCAGGCAUGCCUCGCAUACCCGGCGCGCCAACUGCUCCUCGGCACCUCCUACAGGCCCACCAUGGCGACGGCGCAAGGAUUUGGGUCGAGGAGAGAGAUUACGGGAUGAGGACCCAUAUUUGGGUUCCCUCUCUCCUUCUACCAAAAAUAGGUAUCCUCUUUGUAUAUUCUGUUGGAGGGGUUUUUUUUACUAUGCAAGACCCAAAAUGGGUUUGGGUAGUGGUAUGCAUGACUUGUUGGAGAUAGUCUUAGAGAGCAGAUCAAAAUUGUUGGAAGUUCGUAUUUUUUAUUUUUAUUUAUUUAUUAUAAGAAUGAGUAUAUAUACUAAAGGGAAUAUUUUUACUUUGGGAAUGUAUAAACGUUAAAAUUUUGAUUAUAGUCACUGUUUUUUUCGCGUGGGUGUGUCUGCCCCUCCUGCUAAAGUUACGUAAGGCCAUGUUUAGUUGUUGAAAGGAAAAAUUUCACAACACUGUAGCACUUUCGUUUGUUCGUGUAAUUAUUGUCUAACCAUGGACUAAUUAGGCUCAAAAGAUUCAUCUCGUAAAUUCCGACCAAACUGUGCAAUUAGUUUUUAUUUUCGUCUAUAUUUAAUACUCCAUGCAUGCGUCUAAAGAUUCGAUGUGAUGGAGAAUCUUAAAAAAUUUUAGAUUUUAGGGUGGAAGUAAACAAGACCUAACUCUACCCCUAGUUGUAAGACUACAACCAACUCAUACAAGUGUUUCAAGAAAUUCUGUUAGAGAAGAAAGUGAUCAUGUAUUAACGAUGAGAUAUGUCUUAGUAGUUAACAACUAGUCAACUAUAUAAGUAGGUUGAUAAAUAAAGUGUAAAUGUGCAUAUAACCAUCAAUAGAUUCUAUUAUUAAUCAUGCUUUUAGACCUCCGAAGGUUUUCAUGUUGAAAAAAUUUAGGGAAGGGAGAACAAAAAGAAAACUAGACGGGCGUACAUAAUCCACCUGGCUAAACACGCCACACCAGAAAAAAAAGGGGGGGGCAUGGACAUUGUGGGCAAUAGACCAACACUUUAUAUAUGUGCCUUUCUCUCUCAUAGUUAAAAAUUAUCAGUCAAAUCAGAUAGUUAUUCAGUACUAUUUUUCUCUUAUAAUAAACCAGCAAAUAUUACUUUUAGUCAUAACUCUUCAACGAAGCGAACAAGGUAGGUACCCUAUCCUUGAUUCUUCUUUGACAAUUCUCAUAUUUAGGUGAUAGAGAUGGAGAGGAGUUGGUCCUAUUAGGUUACGAGCGGUUUUGAAGGCGGUUUUAUCUUUUUUUAAAAAAAAUUAUUUUGGCUAAAUAUUUGGAAAAUUAUAGUAAAUCACAUAAAAUUCAUAAAAUAGUAAAUCUGAUUUUGUUGGACUCUAGAUAAGUACAUCUACAUAGUGAACAUAUAAUAUAGUAUUCUUUAGUACAAAGUUUUUGUUGUAACUUUAUAUCUGUGUUUUUUUAAUUAAUUAGAAUAAUUUAUAGCUACAGUUUCUAUGAUCCUAUUGUGGUGAUUUUUUUAUGUUGGGUUAGCUAUUGUAUGUCUAAACUAUGAUAAAAAAAUUCAUACUCAUUAGAUUAUGUAUAACUUAGUUAUAAAUUUAUUAUGGUUUAAUAAACAUAAACCUAAAUAAAUCUAUAACUAAGUAAUACAUGAUCCAAUAGUAUGAAAUUUUUACUACAAUUCAAACAUAGAAUAAUUAGGUCACCAUAUAAAUUCCAUCAAAAUUGGACCAUAGAAACUGUAGUUAUAAUUAUUCUAAUUAACUAGAGAAAAGUAUAGAUCUAAAGUUGCAGCAAAAACUUUGUACUAAAGCAUAUCAUAUUAUAUAUUCAAUGUGUAGAUCUACUCAUCUGAAGUCCAAUAAAAUUAAAAUUUCUAUUUUAUAAUCUUUGUGUGAUUUACUAUGAUUUUUCAAAAAAAUUAUCCGAAAUAAAUAAAAAUAAAAGAACAAAGCCACUUUUAAAACAAGUCAGAGAUGUAAUAUGCACGGUUUUAAAAGUUGAGGGAUGUAUUUUGUCCGAUUUUGGAGUUUAGGAAUGAAAAACAGACUUUUAUGAAAGUUGAAGGACCUAGAGUGGACUUUUUCAUUUUUUUUCUUUUGCAUAGACCAGUGCCUUUCAUCCAUAUAAUUUUGUGAAUUUUAUUUAACAUUUUAUAGAUCCAAUAAAUAAUUCACUACCCUGUUUUUGUAUUUAAAUAAAUUAUUGAUGACAUAUAUGAACUGACAUAUCAAGAAUUCAAUAAAUACUUUCAUUGUACUUGAAAUAGUUUUUAUAAAUAUAUUAUAUUUACUAGUAUGGUAUAAGAAAUAUUUUCAGAUACAUAACUCCCUUGAUUAUACAGGAUGGAGUACUUUAUCCUCUAAACUAUAAAACCGGAUUUUCUAACCCUUGAACUUUCUAAAAUUGGUCAAAUAACCCCCUCAAGUGGUUUUGGGUGGUGGUUUUGAUAUAGUGACGGUGGUUUUGUUUUUUUUUCCUUUUUAUUUAUUUUGGCUAAGUCUUUGAAAAAUCAUACAGAAAUCUCAUUUUGUUGAACUCCAUAUGAGUAGAUCUAUAGUGAACAUAUAAUACAAUAUGCUUUAGUAUUAAUUUGUUGUUGUAGCUUUAGACAUAUAUAUUAUUCUAAUUAAUUAUAAAAAAGUAUAGAUCUAAGCUACAAUAAAAAUGUUGUACUAAAGCAUACCAUAUUAUAUAUUCGCUGUGUAGAUCUACUCAUGUAGAGUCUAAUAAAAUUAGUUUUUCAUAGUAUAUUUUUUAGUGAUUUACUAUGGUUUUUUAAAGAUUUAGUGGAAAUAAAUAAAUUAAUUAAUAAAGACAAAACCACAAUCACGAUAGCAAAAACAUCAUCCAAAACUGCUCGAGGGGAUUAUUUGAUCGAUUUUAGAAAUUUUAAAGAUCCACACUAUAUAGUUGAGAGGGUUACGUAGACUUUUCCCCUCUAACUAUGGGAGGUGGACUACUUAACAUACUCAACUUUCAAACCGGACGUUUUACCCUAAACUUUCUAAAGCCCACACUUCCGGCCUUUAAUCAUAAUUGAAGGGACUACAUGACCAAUAGUAGGAGGGCGACGAAUAAUACAGUAAGUACACCGGUAGAGGGUUUCAAAAUAGCACCCAAAUAGAACAAAGCAUGAAUGAUGGUAAGCUUGUAGACGCAUAUAAUUAGGAAGAUUUUGCCCCCUCUUUUUUUGUUUAGCAUUUCAUCGAACAACAGAAAGAGAAAAUGCAGCAAGGAAAAAGAGAACAAGGAUUGAGAGCCUUACUGUGUAUGGGGAUGCUAGCAUCGCCAAUGGUGUGGAACAUGAUGCGGUCACCAGCCAGGCAAGUGAUGCUGAGCCAGACCACGACGCGGUCAACAACUCAACAUGAAUCAAGCUAUUCCAGGACCCAAGAGAAGCGGCCGAGCGUGAUGCGCCAAUGUGCGACUUGGUGGACAUGGGUAGGCAUGAACCUAGGCUAGACACAGUUGCGCCUGUGUAUUCAUGCUAUGUUGUAUAAAUACCAGGGAGAGAAGGGAGGACAACUAUUAUCCAAACAUAGUCAAUACAAUCCUUCCUCUGCUUUAUUACGUGCUCGUGUUUCCUACUA